Molecule: non-coding RNA, 369 nt
Organism: Myodes glareolus (Bank vole)
Lineage: Eukaryota; Metazoa; Chordata; Mammalia; Rodentia; Cricetidae
Source: RefSeq, a predicted model, not a curated record
AGACAGAGGUGGGUGUGUCACCUGAUGAACAAUGAGGAAGUUCAAGCAAAAAUACAGAAAACAUGGGCUAGAGAGAUGGCUCUGCCCUGCCAUAAAAGCCUGAGGGCCUGAGUUCAGAUCCCUGACACCUCUGUGGAAAGCCAAGGACACCUGGGAUCUUGGUUCAGUUAUGGGGUAUGCUGGGCUAGACCAGUGGAAUGGAGACCGAGAACACUCUAUCUGAACUGACCGCCCGUGGAAAGGCAGAUUUAACCGGGCCAAAGCUAUCGAACAUGAGAUCAGCUCUGCUGGGUACAAAGCACAGAGGACUCUAGAGGAAAGAUGUGCAUUCUCGUACGUCUCUGGAAUCUGAGUUGCUAUAUAUCCCCC